GAAAAUCUUUGUUAGGUGAGGCUACUAUAUGGAAAUACGCUUCUGCCCGGAAACAUCGAGAGAUGCCAAUGGGUCAACAGGCUUUAUCGGAUUAAGGUAUAGCUUAACGGAGCUGUUUUUAAAAACUUACGCUAUAUAGAGCUAAAACUCAACGAGUAAAAGAUAUCA
This 168-nucleotide small RNA is filed under the name Clostridiales bacterium. RNAcentral's name for it is "Magnesium sequence". It matches the Rfam family "M-box riboswitch aptamer (ykoK leader)". Rfam says of the family: M-box riboswitch, also know as ykoK leader is described as a metaloregulatory RNA that sense divalent metals and function as a genetic control element of genes related to divalent metal transport in bacteria. It was first reported upstream of the B.subtilis ykoK gene and genes with related functions in other bacteria. The record is from RNAcentral. Lineage: Bacteria; Bacillati; Bacillota; Clostridia; Eubacteriales.